Molecule: ribosomal RNA, 446 nt
Filed under: uncultured soil bacterium
Lineage: Bacteria
Description: bacterial SSU rRNA
Rfam family: Bacterial small subunit ribosomal RNA
Source: RNAcentral
AGAACGAACGCUGGCGGCAUGCCUAACACAUGCAAGUCGAACGAGACCUUCGGGUCUAGUGGCGCACGGGUGCGUAACGCGUGGGAAUCUACCCUUGGGUUCGGAAUAACAGUUGGAAACGACUGCUAAUGCCGGAUGAUGUCGCAAGACCAAAGAUUUAUCGCCCAAGGAUGAGCCCGCGUAGGAUUAGCUAGUUGGUGAGGUAAAGGCUCACCAAGGCGACGAUCCUUAGCUGGUCUGAGAGGAUGAUCAGCCACACUGGGACUGAGACACGGCCCAGACUCCUACGGGAGGCAGCAGUGGGGAAUAUUGGACAAUGGGCAAAGCCUGAUCCAGCAAUGCCGCGUGAGUGAUGAAGGCCUUAGGGUUGUAAAGCUCUUUUACCGGGAUGAUAAUGACAGUACCGGAGAAUAAGCUCCGGCUAACGUCCGUGCCUAGCACGCCGC